GAUGAACGUUGGCGGCGUGCCUAACACAUGCAAGUCGAACGAAAGUAGCAAUACUUUAGUGGCGCACGGGUGAGUAACACGUAGCUUGCCUCCCUCUCAGCGCGGGAUAACGACUCGAAAGAGUUGCUAAUACCGCAUAAGCUCACGGGUUAUAGAGACUUGUGAGAAAAGGCGAAAGUCACUGAGAGACGGGGCUGCGGCCCAUCAGCUAGUUGGCGCGGAAAGGCGCACCAAGGCGACGACGGGUAGGGGACCUGAGAGGGU
This 264-nucleotide ribosomal RNA is filed under the name uncultured bacterium. Its description in RNAcentral is "partial 16S ribosomal RNA". It matches the Rfam family "Bacterial small subunit ribosomal RNA", at positions 28 to 301 of the family's 1533-position model. The record is from RNAcentral.